CCAUGGCCGAGUGAGAGGGACAAGCUCAAAUUUUAAAUCUGUUGGGUUUACCUAACCGAGUUGUAAUUUGAAGAGGCGUUUUCUGUGUUUUUGAUCAGCCCAAGUCCUUUGGGAUAAGGCAUCAUGGAGGGUGAGAAUCCCGUCCGGUUGAUCAGAUUCGCUUUACGAUACGUCAUCUAAGAGUCAAGUUGUUUGGGAUUGCAGCUUAAAAUGGGAGGUAAAUUUCUCCUAAGGCUAAAUAACGGCGAGAGACCGAUAGCGAACAAGUACCGUGAGGGAAAGAUGAAAAGAACUUUGAAAAGAGAGUUAAACAGUACGUGAAAUUGUUGAAAGGGAAACGAUUGAAGCCAGUCAUACCGGCGGAUAAUCAGCCUUUCGGGUGCGAUUCUGUGGAGUGUGAGGAGUUAAACGCCUUCAUGCCUGCAUAUUCGUGCACCUUGGGUGUACUUGCCCGUGUGGUAAGUUAACAUCAAUUUUGAUCGUCAUAAAAUGGCUGGUGGAAUGUAGCUUCGGUCUCGUACUGAAGUGUUAUAGCCUCCGGUAGAUGUGAUGAUCGGGAUUGAGGAUUGCAACGGAUACCCUUCGGGGCUACCCCGCCCU
This 600-nucleotide ribosomal RNA is filed under the name uncultured Glomus. RNAcentral's name for it is "eukaryotic LSU rRNA". It matches the Rfam family "Eukaryotic large subunit ribosomal RNA", at positions 78 to 608 of the family's 3401-position model. Lineage: Eukaryota; Fungi; Glomeromycota; Glomeromycetes; Glomerales; Glomeraceae. The record is from RNAcentral.